RNAcentral lists this ribosomal RNA (681 nucleotides) under Plasmopara nivea. Its description in RNAcentral is "LSU rRNA". It matches the Rfam family "Eukaryotic large subunit ribosomal RNA", at positions 81 to 607 of the family's 3401-position model. Lineage: Eukaryota; Oomycota; Peronosporomycetes; Peronosporales; Peronosporaceae. The record is from RNAcentral.
UAGUAMCGGCGAGUGAAGCGGGAUGAGCUCAAGCUUAAAAUCUCCGUGCAAUUUUUGCACGGCGAAUUGUAGUCUAUAGAGGCGUGGUCAGUGUGAGCACUUAAGGUAAGUUCCUUGGAAGAGGACAGCAUGGAGGGUGAUACUCCCGUUCAUCCCUGAGUUGCUUAUGCGUACGACCCGUUUUCUUUGAGUCGCGUUGUUUGAGAAUGCAGCGCAAAGUAGGUGGUAAAUUCCAUCUAAAGCUAAAUAUUGGUGCGAGACCGAUAGCAUACAAGUACCGUGAGGGAAAGAUGAAAAGAACUUUGAAAAUAGAGUUAAAGAGUACCUGAAACUGCUGAAAGGGAACCAAAUCGUUUCCAGUGUCUAUAAUCCGUAGUAUAUUCCAUUGGCGAGUGUGUGCGUGCGUGUGCUAUUGUAGUGGCCUUUUGGCUGCGCUCGGCGUGUGUGCUGCGUGUGCUUGCUGGUGCCCUGUGCUAUGGUGGGACGUCAAGGUCAGUUCGUAUGCUGCGGGAAAUGGCUACCGAGGAGGUAGGGCUUACGCUUGCGUUUGUCUGUUAUAUCUUGGUAGACGAGUAGUCGCGGUUGGGACUGAGGUGCCUACAACGUGCUUUUGAGUGGGCUUGGGUCUCUGUGUGCGCCGUGUGCGGAUAGCUUGCUAUGCGUGUGUGGUUGUGUGUGGAU